RNAcentral lists this ribosomal RNA (450 nucleotides) under uncultured bacterium. RNAcentral's name for it is "partial 16S ribosomal RNA". It matches the Rfam family "Bacterial small subunit ribosomal RNA", at positions 354 to 796 of the family's 1533-position model. The record is from RNAcentral.
GUGGGGAAUCUUCCGCAAUGGACGAAAGUCUGACGGAGCAACGCCGCGUGAGUGAUGAAGGUCUUCGGAUUGUAAAGCUCUGUUAAUCGGGACGAAAGAGCCUAGUGUGAAUAAUGCUAGGAAGUGACGGUACCGGAAUAGAAAGCCACGGCUAACUACGUGCCAGCAGCCGCGGUAAUACGUAGGUGGCAAGCGUUGUCCGGAAUUAUUGGGCGUAAAGCGCGCGCAGGCGGAGCUGCCAGUCUGUCUUAAAAGUUCGGGGCUUAACCCCGUGAUGGGAUGGAAACUACAGAUCUAGAGUAUCGGAGAGGAAAGUGGAAUUCCUAGUGUAGCGGUGAAAUGCGUAGAUAUUAGGAAGAACACCAGUGGCGAAGGCGACUUUCUGGACGAAAACUGACGCUGAGGCGCGAAAGCCAGGGGAGCGAACGGGAUUAGAAACCCUGGUAGUCC